GAUGAACGCUGGCGGCGUGCCUAAUACAUGCAAGUCGAGCGAACAGAUGAGGAGCUUGCUCCUCUGACGUUAGCGGCGGACGGGUGAGUAACACGUGGAUAACCUACCUAUAAGACUGGGAUAACUUCGGGAAACCGGAGCUAAUACCGGAUAAUAUAUUGAACCGCAUGGUUCAAUAGUGAAAGACGGUUUUGCUGUCACUUAUAGAUGGAUCCGCGCCGCAUUAGCUAGUUGGUAAGGUAACGGCUUACCAAGGCAACGAUGCGUAGCCGACCUGAGAGGGUGAUCGGCCACACUGGAACUGAGACACGGUCCAGACUCCUACGGGAGGCAGCAGUAGGGAAUCUUCCGCAAUGGGCGAAAGCCUGACGGAGCAACGCCGCGUGAGUGAUGAAGGUCUUCGGAUCGUAAAACUCUGUUAUUAGGGAAGAACAAAUGUGUAAGUAACUAUGCACGUCUUGACGGUACCUAAUCAGAAGCCACGGCUAACUACGUG
RNAcentral lists this ribosomal RNA (496 nucleotides) under uncultured bacterium. Its description in RNAcentral is "partial 16S ribosomal RNA". It matches the Rfam family "Bacterial small subunit ribosomal RNA", at positions 28 to 507 of the family's 1533-position model. The record is from RNAcentral.